This 1364-nucleotide long non-coding RNA is filed under the name Neodiprion pinetum (white pine sawfly). RNAcentral describes it as "uncharacterized LOC124219768". The record is from RNAcentral. Lineage: Eukaryota; Metazoa; Arthropoda; Insecta; Hymenoptera; Diprionidae.
UGCGCGGGCCAAUCUUGACUCGCGUUCAAGUAACGGUCACAAGCGGGGAGCGCAGGCGAUUGGUUGAAACUUCGAACUGCUGCCGUUUGAAAACUGCUAGACGUUCCACGUUCGCGUUCGGAGAGAUUCGUCGCGGUUUUUUUCGAAGAAUAACGCGGAGCUGAUGACGCGAGGGUGUUCGGUACAUCAGCAUGUGGGCAAUUUUGACGAGUGCGGGAAAUUGGAGGGGGAGGCAGUCUCGUAUCCCGCUUUUACUAUAGAGAUCGCUUCCCCCUUCCCUUUGUCCCUGCCUCCCUGGACCAGGAUCACCGUCAGACGCUUCUUUUCCUCCGAAGGAAUACCAUCUCCUUAUGGUCCUCGCUUUUACGACGCGGCCAAGGUACGGUGUGAUACGAGAUGUCUCUACCCUGAUUCCGACAUGCAGUCGGUGCACUUCGCGCCCUAACGCAGCUCGAGGCGUCGACAUGGAAGGGAUUUCUUGUGAGAACUCUUCUCGGAAACGUCUGUAGUUACGCAGAGGAAGCGAGGAUCUUUCCGUAACCGGAGAAACACGUAAGAAGGAUACCGACGUGCACGGUGGGCAUGCAGGAGCUGAAAGGAAACUGGAUAACGCGGGACCAGAGGCGUAAAACUCGGACCUCGUGAAGGUGAGAGAAUCCGCCUGAAGAGAGAAAUGAAAUUUAGUUGUAUAUGUUACAGGGAGCGUUUUCUCAGGUUUUUGUAAACCACGCGUAUAUACGUGUAGGGGUGAAUGCUGUGCGUGUGUUACAGAAAGCGUGGAAGGUACGAAGGCAGUGGUGGAAUGGUACGCAGCUGGGCUGAAUGUAGGAUUGAAAUAUCGACGAACGCACCGUGACUUGGGAGGCAUUGAAACGAGUGACGACCGAGAAACGCGAGUUACCUUCGGCCAACAAUGAUAAACUCACGAUCACCGUCAGAUCUACCAAAUUCAAAAUUAUUUCGAUAAGGUAAUCGAGCAUCGAUCGGCUAUGCAAUAAUUAACGGUCACGCGGAAACACCGCGAUAUCUUAGGGAUUCAACUACAUGUUUUAUUAUAAUACGUGUGUAUGUAAGGAUUUUAUGUCUGCAAUAAAACAUCAAGAGUUUACAAGUGCGGCUAAUUUAUUAUCUAGUUGAAAACUACAAGCCGCGGUACAUUGGCCAUUAAACAUGAAUUAUAAAGGUAAUAGAUAGUUGUGUCGUUAAAUUCUCUUUCAAUAAAUCAAUCAAUUUUUAAAGUUUAUUUUUUAUUCCCACUUUAAUGAAAUUUUUCUGGAAAAUUCUCUGUGCCUAUAAGAAGAUGAACUACCACUAUUUUGCCAAAGUUUAUUUAAAUAAUUGGCGUCAUGUAAUAUGUCAAAAGU